GUCAGGAUGGCCGAGCGGUCUAAGGCGCUGCGUUCAGGUCACAGUCUCCCCUGGAGGCAUGGGUUCAAGUCCCACUCCUGACA
RNAcentral lists this transfer RNA (83 nucleotides) under Ornithorhynchus anatinus (platypus). RNAcentral's name for it is "tRNA-Leu (CAG) (tRNA-Leu-CAG-6-1)". It matches the Rfam family "tRNA". From Rfam's summary of the family: Transfer RNA (tRNA) molecules are approximately 80 nucleotides in length. The record is from RNAcentral. Lineage: Eukaryota; Metazoa; Chordata; Mammalia; Monotremata; Ornithorhynchidae.